This 431-nucleotide ribosomal RNA is filed under the name uncultured bacterium. RNAcentral describes it as "partial 16S ribosomal RNA". It matches the Rfam family "Bacterial small subunit ribosomal RNA", at positions 29 to 507 of the family's 1533-position model. The record is from RNAcentral.
AACGAACGCUGGCGGCAGGCUUAACACAAGCAAGUCGAACGCCCCGCAAGGGGAGUGGCAGACGGGUGAGUAACGCGUGGGAACAUACCCUUUUCUACGGAAUAGCUCUGGGAAACUGGAAUUAAUACCGUAUACGCCCUACGGGGGAAAGAUUUAUCGGGGAAGGAUUGGCCCGCGUUGGAUUAGCUAGUUGGUGGGGUAAAGGCCUACCAAGGCGACGAUCCAUAGCUGGUCUGAGAGGAUGAUCAGCCACAUUGGGACUGAGACACGGCCCAAACUCCUACGGGAGGCAGCAGUGGGGAAUAUUGGACAAUGGGCGCAAGCCUGAUCCAGCCAUGCCGCGUGAGUGAUGAAGGCCUUAGGGUUGUAAAGCUCUUUCACCGAUGAAGAUAAUGACGGUAGUCGGAGAAGAAGCCCCGGCUAACUUCGUG